RNAcentral lists this ribosomal RNA (514 nucleotides) under uncultured fungus. RNAcentral's name for it is "bacterial SSU rRNA". It matches the Rfam family "Eukaryotic small subunit ribosomal RNA", at positions 254 to 759 of the family's 1831-position model. The record is from RNAcentral. Lineage: Eukaryota; Fungi.
UAAUAACUUCUCGAAUCGCACGGCCUUGUGCUGGCGAUGCUUCAUUCAAAUAUCUGCCCUAUCAACUUUCGACUGGUAGGAUAGUGGCCUACCAUGGUUUCAACGGGUAACGGGGAAUAAGGGUUCGAUUCCGGAGAGGGAGCCUGAGAAACGGUACCACAUCCAAGGAAGGCAGCAGGCGCGCAAAUUACCCAAUCCCGACACGGGGAGGUAGUGACAAUAAAUAACAAUAUAGGGCUCUUUCGGGUCUUAUACAUUGGAAUGAGUACAAUUUAAAUCUCUUAAGAGGCAACAAUUGGAGGGCAAGUCUGGUGCCAGCAGCCGGGGGUAAUUCCAGCUCCGAUAGCGUAUAUUAACAGUUGUUUGCGGUUAAACAAGCUCGUAGUUCGAACUUCAGGCCUGGCUGGCAUGGUCCUACCUAACCGGUAUGUACCUGUCUGGCUGGGUCUUACCUCUUGGUGAGGCCGGCAUGCCCUUUCACUGGGUGUGGUCGGGGGCAACCCACGGGACUUUU